UUUAUGGAGAGUUUGAUCCUGGCUCAGGAUGAACGCUGGCGGCGUGCCUAAUACAUGCAAGUCGAGCGAACGGACGAGAAGCUUGCUUCUCUGAUGUUAGCGGCGGACGGGUGAGUAACACGUGGAUAACCUACCUAUAAGACUGGGAUAACUUCGGGAAACCGGAGCUAAUACCGGAUGAUAUUUUGAACCGCAUGGUUCAAAAGUGAAAG
This 212-nucleotide ribosomal RNA is filed under the name Staphylococcus aureus. RNAcentral's name for it is "partial 16S ribosomal RNA". It matches the Rfam family "Bacterial small subunit ribosomal RNA", at positions 1 to 206 of the family's 1533-position model. The record is from RNAcentral. Lineage: Bacteria; Bacillati; Bacillota; Bacilli; Caryophanales; Staphylococcaceae.